AGCGAACGCUGGCGGCGUGCCUAACACAUGCAAGUCGAACGUGAAAGGGAGCAAUCUCAAGUAACGUGGCGUACGGGUGAGUAACACGUAGGUAAUCUACCCCAGAAUCUGGAAUAACCGGCCGAAAGGCUGGCUAAUACUGGAUAGAGCGACGGAAUCCGUAAUUGGGUUUUUCGGGAAAGGGAGCCUGUAAAAAGGCCUUCGUUCUGGGAUGAGCCUGCGUCCCAUCAGCUAGUUGGUGAGGUAAAAGCUUACCAAGGCAAUGACGGGUAGCUGGUCUGAGAGGACGAUCAGCCACACUGGAACUGAAACACGGUCCAGACUCCUACGGGAGGCAGCAGUGGGGAAUCUUGCGCAAUGGACGAAAGUCUGACGCAGCAACGCCGCGUGAGUGAAGAAGGCCUUCGGGUUGUAAAGCUCUGUCGAGUGGGACGAAAAUGCUUGGAGUUCACAGCUCCAGGAACUGACGGUACCACUAAAGGAAGCACCGGCUAACUCCGUG
Molecule: ribosomal RNA, 502 nt
Filed under: uncultured bacterium
Lineage: Bacteria
Description: partial 16S ribosomal RNA
Rfam family: Bacterial small subunit ribosomal RNA
Source: RNAcentral